AUCUUCUUCUGUACUUUGGGAGAGACAGAGGGUUGAGAGAGAGGAGAGGUGAGAGAACAUCAUGUUGAAGUGAAGUUCAGACCACAUGAAGAAGCCACACAUAGGUGUUCCAUCCAACAGCCAACAUCAGCUGGUGUACAUGUUGUCUUACAAGUAGAAUGACACCAAGGUAUAAAAUUUGGCUGAGCACAGACCAAAGACCGAUUGAAACUCUAAAUCAAAAAUCCAAGUUUCUCCUAGAUCGUGUUUCCUGAGAAGCAAAUUUUGAGAUGGUUUUGAGUGAUGGAUGUCUACUUAAGAGUGCUCCUGGGAAUAACAUCUAUAAAAUCCUGGUGGAGGCAGAGAGGAGGAGACUUUGGACUGGGAGGGAGUUAAUAUACAAGUUUCCACUGAUCCUGUGAGACUGGAAUGACCCCUCAAAUUUGUCUCAAUUUGAGGCAACUUGGUCAAGCAUUAGUAUCCUACAAUUGAUAGGUUAUUGGGUGCCCAGAGAGAGAGAGAGAGAGAGAGUGAGAGCAAGAAUGAGAGUGAGACUGAAUAUGAGAUAACGAGAGAUGUAGAUAUACCUCAGGAUAUAAAAUUUAUUCAUUUUUUGUGUGAAGUGUAAGAUUUGCAUCUAGUAUCUUUAUUUUGCAUAAGGACAUCCCAUUGUUCCAUCACCAUUUGUUGAAAAGGUAUCUGUCCUCUGAAUUACCACUAUACUUUGUCAAAAAUCAGUUGACUAUAUUUGUGUGGGCCCAUUUUUGGAUGCUAUAUUUUAUCUUUGAAGAUAAUCUUUCCAAAUUUCAGGUGGUUUCUUUAUAAUAAUAAUGAGGCAUAAUUAUGUACACAUUAAAAAAAGACAGAGUUAUUGGAUACAUAACAGAUAACAGGAGUAAGUAAAUCAUAUUAAGAUGACAUAGAUUUUGAAUCAGACAGAAUUGAAUUUGCAACUUGCAUUGCUGAUUAUAUGUAUAUAAUAUUGUCAAUUUAUUUAAAGCCUUAAUUUCUAUAACUGUAAAGUGAACAUGAUAAAUACUGACUUGGUAAGGCUAUAUUAAGUUAUCUAAAUUAUGUAGGUAUCUAUAAUAAAAUUUCUCAGAUGACUCA
Homo sapiens (human) is the source of this 1089-nucleotide long non-coding RNA. Lineage: Eukaryota; Metazoa; Chordata; Mammalia; Primates; Hominidae. The record is from Ensembl.